Molecule: unclassified non-coding RNA, 374 nt
Filed under: soil metagenome
Description: partial contains 5.8S ribosomal RNA, internal transcribed spacer 2, and large subunit ribosomal RNA
Rfam family: 5.8S ribosomal RNA (bases 1-120)
Source: RNAcentral
GAUGAAGAACGUAGCGAAAUGCGAUAAGUAAUGUGAAUUGCAGAAUUCAGUGAAUCAUCGAAUCUUUGAACGCACAUUGCGCCCGCCAGUAUUCUGGCGGGCAUGCCUGUUCGAGCGUCAUUUCAACCCUCAAGACCCCUUCGGGGGACUUGGUGUUGGGGACCGGCACAGGGGCCUGCCUGCUUGUCUUGCAGCGCCCUCGCCGCCCCCGAAAUGAAUUGGCGGCCUCGUCGCGGCCUCCCCUGCGUAGUAGCACAAACCUCGCAACGGGAACGUGACGGCGGCCACUGCCGUAAAACAACCCAAUUUUAUUAGAGUUGACCUCGAAUCAGGUAGGAAUACCCGCUGAACUUAAGCAUAUAAUAAGCGGAGGA